GAAAAUAUGGUAAGCUAUGUUAACAAGCCAUAUUAGAUAUCAAGCAUUAAUAUGGAAAUAAACCAGGUAACUCCUGUGUAACUGAUCUUUGUGGGGACUUGGAGGAGGGGAGGUGAACCUAAACUAGGUUUAGCAUGUGCUAAACUUAAUUAAUGGUUAACUAAAUUCAUUCAAAGAUAUCUGUAACUUGUGGUCUGAUAGUGCUGGUUUUUGGAUAUGAAUUUGUCAUUAAGAACAAAUCCUGCCCUGAUUCUGGGGACCAUGCCUGUGGAGAUGCACAGUUCUACCAUUCAAAGUGACUAUCGGAAAACACCUCCU
RNAcentral lists this non-coding RNA (318 nucleotides) under Pongo abelii (Sumatran orangutan). The record is from RNAcentral. Lineage: Eukaryota; Metazoa; Chordata; Mammalia; Primates; Hominidae.